GAUGAACGCUGACAGAAUGCUUAACACAUGCAAGUCGAUGGGGAAGUGGUGCUUGCACCCUGGUAACCAUGGCGGACGGGUGAGUAACGCGUAAGGAACUUGCCUGCGGGACUGGGAUAACAGCAGGAAACUGCUGAUAAUACCGGAUAAGGUCAUUAAGCUGCAUAGCUUAGUGAUGAAAGGAGACGCCUGCGGAGAGCCUUGCGUCCUAUUAGCUAGUUGGAGGGGUAACGGCCCACCAAGGCGAAGAUAGGUAGCCGGCCUGAGAGGGUGGACGGCCACAAGGGGACUGAGAUACGGCCCUUACUCCUACGGGAGGCAGCAGUGGGGAAUAUUGGACAAUGGGGGCAACCCUGAUCCAGCAAUUCUGUGUGCACGAAGACGGUUUUCGGGUUGUAAAGUGCUUUCAGCAGGGAAGAAGGAAGUGACGGUACCUGCAGAAGAAGCGACGGCUAAAUACGUG
This 463-nucleotide ribosomal RNA is filed under the name uncultured bacterium. Its description in RNAcentral is "partial 16S ribosomal RNA". It matches the Rfam family "Bacterial small subunit ribosomal RNA", at positions 28 to 507 of the family's 1533-position model. The record is from RNAcentral.